Molecule: long non-coding RNA, 382 nt
Filed under: Sorghum bicolor (sorghum)
Lineage: Eukaryota; Viridiplantae; Streptophyta; Magnoliopsida; Poales; Poaceae
Description: long non-coding RNA (SBIC_LNC013957)
Source: RNAcentral
UAGCAUAUUCAAAACUCAUCCCUUGUGGAAAAAUCAACACAAUACCGACACCUCCUCCUUGUUUGCAAGUAGAUACAUCAAAGAAUAGAGCCCAAGAGGUCAAUUCUAACAAUGUCACUUCCCCUUCUCGAUGAUGAGUAAUGAAGUCAGCUAUGGCUUGACCUUUGACUGCUUUAACCGAUUCAUAACUUAAAUCAAAUUCUGAUAAUGCAAGAAUCCACUUACCAAUUCUCCCAUUCAAGAUAAGCAUAGACAAAUAUGUUUAAUCACAUCAAACUUGGACACCACUAUGAACUCAAAAGAUAACAAAUAACGUCGAUGUUUAGUGCAUGAAAAAUAUAAGCAUAAACAUAGCUUCUCAAUAGGAGAGUAUCUGGUCUCU